UCAGGACGAACGCUGGCGGCGUGCCUAAUACAUGCAAGUCGAACGGUCUUUCUAUGGAAGCUUGCUCCACUGAGAAGAUAGUGGCGAACGGGUGAGUAACACGUGGGUAACCUGCCCAUAAGAGGGGGAUAACAUCCGGAAACGGGUGCUAAUACCGCAUAGUUUUCUUGAUCGCAUGAUUGAGAAAGGAAAGACGGCCUUUGUGCUGUCGCUUAUGGAUGGACCCGCGGCGUAUUAGUUAGUUGGUGAGGUAACGGCUCACCAAGACGAUGAUACGUAGCCGACCUGAGAGGGUGAUCGGCCACAUUGGGACUGAGACACGGCCCAAACUCCUACGGGAGGCAGCAGUAGGGAAUCUUCCGCAAUGGACGAAAGUCUGACGGAGCAACGCCGCGUGAGUGAAGAAAAGGUUUUCGGAUCGUAAAACUCUGUUGUCAGAGAAGAACAAGUUGGAGAGUAACUGCUCCAGCCUUGACGGUAUCUGACCAGAAAGCCACGGCUAACUACGUGCCAGCAGCGGC
This 521-nucleotide ribosomal RNA is filed under the name uncultured bacterium. RNAcentral's name for it is "bacterial SSU rRNA". It matches the Rfam family "Bacterial small subunit ribosomal RNA", at positions 24 to 518 of the family's 1533-position model. The record is from RNAcentral.